GUCAUUCAUCUGCUAUGAGACGCUGAUAGGAAACUCUUCAGCAUAUGCCUAAUCAGCCAUGCCUUCAGCAACUCAACUUGCCCGUUCCACGACAUCUGUCGCCAUCUCAUCGGAUACGUCCUUCUUUCCUCCAUCCUCUUCAGCUACUGCCUCUUCAGCCACCUGCUCUUCAGUCCCUUCCAUGUUCACAAUAUUAACUUGCUCAACUUGCUCACUUUGC
This 220-nucleotide long non-coding RNA is filed under the name Prunus persica (peach). RNAcentral describes it as "long non-coding RNA (PPER_LNC004434)". Lineage: Eukaryota; Viridiplantae; Streptophyta; Magnoliopsida; Rosales; Rosaceae. The record is from RNAcentral.